This 75-nucleotide transfer RNA is filed under the name Pseudomonadota bacterium. RNAcentral describes it as "tRNA-Met". It matches the Rfam family "tRNA". Rfam says of the family: Transfer RNA (tRNA) molecules are approximately 80 nucleotides in length. Their secondary structure includes four short double-helical elements and three loops (D, anti-codon, and T loops). Further hydrogen bonds mediate the characteristic L-shaped molecular structure. tRNAs have two regions of fundamental functional importance: the anti-codon, which is responsible for specific mRNA codon recognition, and the 3' end, to which the tRNAs corresponding amino acid is attached (by aminoacyl-tRNA synthetases). tRNAs cope with the degeneracy of the genetic code in two manners: having more than one tRNA (with a specific anti-codon) for a particular amino acid; and 'wobble' base-pairing, i.e. permitting non-standard base-pairing at the 3rd anti-codon position. Lineage: Bacteria; Pseudomonadati; Pseudomonadota. The record is from RNAcentral. RNAcentral also lists the same sequence under 2 other names.
CGCGGGGUAGAGCAGAGGCAGCUCGUCGGGCUCAUAACCCGGAGGUCGGAGGUUCGAGUCCUCCCCCCGCAACCA